Molecule: long non-coding RNA, 638 nt
Organism: Homo sapiens (human)
Lineage: Eukaryota; Metazoa; Chordata; Mammalia; Primates; Hominidae
Source: Ensembl
UUGCUUUUCCCUCCACAGUAUUAAACAGUCAUUUUAAAUGUUGGUGCUGUCACUUAGCAAACGAUGAAGUAGAGAUAAAGUGAAGCUGUGAGGCUCUAAUAGGCCUUCCACAGGGGAGCCCGAGAUACAGCAGGAAGUCCCAGCGGCCUUGCCUCCGGAGCACAGCUUCAUAAAACCAGCUCAGACUCUUUCAAACGAGCUGAGGCUCCUUUGAUCUCCGCAGGGAUUCUCUGUUCAAUUCAGAAGGAACUGCUUUUAAGCCACUGGGUCAAGCGGAUAUUUUAAGCCUGGUGCCCAGCAUUGAACAUUUCUCCUUGACAUAUGCACGUUCUUCUGUCUUGUGAGUACAUUUGGGGUAGAAUCAGUGUUUUUCUGCUGUAUCAAGGAACCAGUUUCCCAUCUUUCAGGGACAUGGUUUUCUGGCUGAGCUGGCCCAGGGCAAGCAGGCAGUCAUCCUGCAUUUAUCUCCUUCUAGAAAGUUCUGGAUUUUACUGGGACUGUGCGCUACUCCCUGUUCCUCAGAAUCCCAGGGUUUUUCCAAGUUGCCAUAGGGGCUCUCCAAAUAUUUCACUUGAUACUGAAUUUUACAAUGUUUAUAGCUAUUGAAACACUUGUAAUUAAACACAUAACCAAAUGUA